CAAAACCUGGGAAAAAAAGUUGAUUGAGGAAAGCUGUAAAAUUUUCUAUCCAACAGCAAAGAAUCGAAGUCAACUCCCAGAUCAAACUACCCUUAAGCAGAUGGCAU
Molecule: long non-coding RNA, 107 nt
Organism: Hibiscus syriacus
Lineage: Eukaryota; Viridiplantae; Streptophyta; Magnoliopsida; Malvales; Malvaceae
Exons: 4
Source: RefSeq, a predicted model, not a curated record